CCUACGGGAGGCAGCAGUGAGGAAUAUUGGUCAAUGGGCGCGAGCCUGAACCAGCCAAGUAGCGUGAAGGAUGACUGCCCUACGGGUUGUCAACUUCUUUUAUAAAGGAAUAAAGUGAGGCAAGUGUGCCUUUUUGUAUGUACUUUAUGAAUAAGGAUCGGCUAACUCCGUGCCAGCAGCCGCGGUAAUACGGAGGAUCCGAGCUGUCUCCGGAUUUCUUGGGUUUAAAGGGAGCGUAGAUGGGUUGUUAUGUCAGUUGUGAAAGUUUGCGGCGCAACCGUAAAAUUGCAAUGGAUACUGGCAGUCUUGAGUACAGUUGAGGUAGGCGGAAUUCGUGGUGUAGCGGUGAAAUGCUUAGAUAUCACGAAGAACUCCGAUUGCGAAGGCAGCUGACUAAACUGCCACUGACAUUGAUGCUCGAAAGUGUGGGGAUCAAACAGGAUUAGAUACCCCUGUAGUC
RNAcentral lists this ribosomal RNA (460 nucleotides) under uncultured bacterium. RNAcentral's name for it is "partial 16S ribosomal RNA". It matches the Rfam family "Bacterial small subunit ribosomal RNA", at positions 338 to 795 of the family's 1533-position model. The record is from RNAcentral.